AGCAGCCGCGGUAAUUCCAGCUCCAAUAGCGUAUAUUAAAGUUGUUGCAGUUAAAAAGCUCGUAGUUGAAUUUCGGGACCAAUCUGCCGGUCGUGCCUCCGGUACGCACUGGUUUUAUUGGUCUCUCCCUUCUGACGAACCAUGAUGUCGUUAAUUUGGUGUCAUGGGGAAUCAGGACUGUUACUUUGAAAAAAUUAGAGUGUUUAUAGCAGGCUCACGCUUGAAUACAUUAGCAUGGAAUAAUGAAAUAGGACGUUUGACCCUAUUUUGUUGGUUUCUAGGAUCGACGUAAUGAUUAAUAGGGAUAGUUGGGGGCAUUAGUAUUCAAUUGUCAGAGGUGAAAUUCUUGGAUUUAUUGAAGACUAACUACUGCGAAAGCAUUUGCCAAGGAUGUUCUCAUUAAUCAAGAACGAAAGUUAGGGGAUCGAAGACGAUCAGAUACCGUCGUAGUCUUAACCAUAAACUAUGCUGACUAGGGAUCGGAUGAUGUUAAUUUUUUU
This 500-nucleotide ribosomal RNA is filed under the name uncultured Glomus. RNAcentral's name for it is "SSU rRNA". It matches the Rfam family "Eukaryotic small subunit ribosomal RNA", at positions 569 to 1073 of the family's 1831-position model. The record is from RNAcentral. Lineage: Eukaryota; Fungi; Glomeromycota; Glomeromycetes; Glomerales; Glomeraceae.